UUUAGUUCCCCGGGGGGGAAGUGCAAAGAACUUUGAAGAGAGAGUUCAAGAGUACGUGAAACCGCUCGGAGGCAAACGGGUGGGCCCUCGAAGGUCGAACGGGGGGAUUCAACCCGUCCGCAGGCAUGGUUGCACGUCACGGAUGGUGAGGCAUCGGGGGUUUUCUCCCCGCGUCUUGCUUAACGGAUCCGAACGUCGGACCGGUCCGUGGCACCAAAGUUAUAUCUUUGUGGCGACCGCGGGCGGGCGCACUUCCCCCUCAGUAGGACGCCGCGACCGGUCGGGUAUCGAAAGAAAAAGCGGCUUUGCAGCGGGACGACGGCAGGUAUCCGUCGCCGGUCAUCUUUCUCUCGUCCUUCGGGGCGGGGGAAAAGCCGGUCGGAAUUACAGCUGGUCUCCGCUUCGGUUGCUGCCCGACCGAGGAACUGCGUGCCCGUGCUGUCGCGUGACUUCGGUUGCGCGAGACGCGCGGUUCGCCCACCUGGCAGGCUGGGCCACCGGGUACCGGACGCCCCUUGUGGCGGUCGGCUAUCUCGCUGUGGCUCGCUGGUGGUCGGGCGUAGCUGCUCUCGUGGUGGCGCUCGUGGUCAGCGGCGAGUAGGUCGGUCGCCCACCCGACCCGUCUUGAAACACGGACCAAGGAGUCUAACAUGUGCGCGAGUCGUAGGGUUGAAUGAAACCCGAAGGCGCAAUGAAAGUGAAAGUUGGUGCGUCUGGCCGACUGAGGCGGGAUCCGUCCGGGUAUCGCUGCAGCUCUCGAGGGGGCUGUGGGAGCCCGGCGGCGCACACGGCGCCCCGCUCCCUUAA
RNAcentral lists this ribosomal RNA (807 nucleotides) under Scolopendra japonica. Its description in RNAcentral is "partial large subunit ribosomal RNA". It matches the Rfam family "Eukaryotic large subunit ribosomal RNA", at positions 344 to 769 of the family's 3401-position model. Lineage: Eukaryota; Metazoa; Arthropoda; Chilopoda; Scolopendromorpha; Scolopendridae. The record is from RNAcentral.